RNAcentral lists this ribosomal RNA (497 nucleotides) under uncultured bacterium. RNAcentral's name for it is "partial 16S ribosomal RNA". It matches the Rfam family "Bacterial small subunit ribosomal RNA", at positions 28 to 507 of the family's 1533-position model. The record is from RNAcentral.
GAUGAACGCUGGCGGCGUGCCUAAUACAUGCAAGUCGAGCGAACAGACGAGGAGCUUGCUCCUCUGACGUUAGCGGCGGACGGGUGAGUAACACGUGGAUAACCUACCUAUAAGACUGGGAUAACUUCGGGAAACCGGAGCUAAUACCGGAUAAUAUAUUGAACCGCAUGGUUCAAUAGUGAAAGACGGUUUUGCUGUCACUUAUAGAUGGAUCCGCGCCGCAUUAGCUAGUUGGUAAGGUAACGGCUUACCAAGGCGACGAUGCGUAGCCGACCUGAGAGGGUGAUCGGCCACACUGGAACUGAGACACGGUCCAGACUCCUACGGGAGGCAGCAGUAGGGAAUCUUCCGCAAUGGGCGAAAGCUUGACGGAGCAACGCCGCGUGAGUGAUGAAGGUCUUCGGAUCGUAAAACUCUGUUAUUAGGGAAGAACAAAUGUGUAAGUAACUAUGCACGCCUUGACGGUACCUAAUCAGAAAGCCACGGCUAACUACGUG